CGGGGAUUAGUGGGGGAACUUUUUGUCGUGUGCCCGGCUGCCUGGCUUCCGGCACGUGUGGCCGUCUCCGUCCCGUUUCGUCGCCGUGCCCGGGUGCGGGUGACGCCCUCACCAAUCGCGCGGCUGCCGCGGGUAAGUCCCUUCUCUAGCGCUUAGUGGCUAACGUAACGGCUAUGCGUCUUUAGCUUUGAGCUUCUGGCAACUCCUCCGAUGCAGCUUUUGGAAAGUCAGAAGCUAAGAGCUGUGUUUGUAGGGAAAGCUAAAAAGAUUAGUUUGCUCUUCGUAACUUUUUAAAUUCAGAAAGCUGAAAACAUCUUCUAAAAAUUAGUAUUAACUUUUCUAAAAAAACCAACUCCUCAGGAAAGAUCAAAAACUGCGGCUCAGAGACCACGGCCGCGCGCGCAACGACUUCUCCGCCCGGCGCGAUCCGCGGUGGCAGCAGAUGCUCGAGUCGUGCCGCUGUUUUUUUCGCGCUACCGCCGGCGGCAACGGAUUAGGCGCAAGAUACGUGUGCUCUCCCUCGGCGAACAGAACAGGAACUACACGUACGACGAGUACUACAA
This 563-nucleotide long non-coding RNA is filed under the name Setaria italica (foxtail millet). RNAcentral's name for it is "long non-coding RNA (SITA_LNC007046)". Lineage: Eukaryota; Viridiplantae; Streptophyta; Magnoliopsida; Poales; Poaceae. The record is from RNAcentral.